RNAcentral lists this non-coding RNA (80 nucleotides) under Mesorhizobium sp. Root157. RNAcentral's name for it is "Alpha-proteobacteria SAM riboswitch aptamer". It matches the Rfam family "Alpha-proteobacteria SAM riboswitch aptamer". Rfam says of the family: This family is a riboswitch found predominantly in alpha-proteobacteria that binds S-adenosyl methionine (SAM). This SAM riboswitch is located upstream of the metA and metC genes in Agrobacterium tumefaciens, and other methionine and SAM biosynthesis genes in other alpha-proteobacteria. Like the other SAM riboswitch, it probably functions to turn off expression of these genes in response to elevated SAM levels. RNAcentral also lists the same sequence under 1 other name. The record is from Rfam by way of RNAcentral. Lineage: Bacteria; Pseudomonadati; Pseudomonadota; Alphaproteobacteria; Hyphomicrobiales; Phyllobacteriaceae.
GAGCCGUUCCGUGGUGAUUUGGCCGGUCGGCUUGCAGCCACGUUAAAGAAAUCGCUAAAAAUGGCCGAGGAUGACGAGUU